GGAUUAGAUACCCUGGUAGUCCACGCCCUAAACGAUGCGAACUGGACGUUGGGUGCAAUUGAGCAUUCAGUGUCGAAGCUAACGCGUUAAGUUCGCCGCCUGGGGAGUACGGUCGCAAGACUGAAACUCAAAGGAAUUGACGGGGGCCCGCACAAGCGGUGGAGUAUGUGGUUUAAUUCGAUGCAACGCGAAGAACCUUACCUGGUCUUGACAUCCACGGAAGUCUGCAGAGAUGCGGAUGUGCCUUCGGGAACCGUGAGACAGGUGCUGCAUGGCUGUCGUCAGCUCGUGCCG
This 294-nucleotide ribosomal RNA is filed under the name uncultured bacterium. Its description in RNAcentral is "partial 16S ribosomal RNA". It matches the Rfam family "Bacterial small subunit ribosomal RNA", at positions 775 to 1067 of the family's 1533-position model. The record is from RNAcentral.